This 511-nucleotide ribosomal RNA is filed under the name uncultured bacterium. Its description in RNAcentral is "partial 16S ribosomal RNA". It matches the Rfam family "Bacterial small subunit ribosomal RNA", at positions 28 to 523 of the family's 1533-position model. The record is from RNAcentral.
GAUGAACGCUGGCGGCAUGCCUAAUACAUGCAAGUCGAACGAGAGGAAAAGAAGCUUGCUUCUUUGAAUCUAGUGGCGAACGGGUGAGUAACACGUAGGUAACCUGCCCAGUGCCCGGGAUAACUUCUGGAAACGGAUGCUAAAACCGGAUAGGUAGCAGACAAGCAUUUGACUGCUAUUAAAGUGGCCUUGGCCAUGAACAUGGAUGGACCUGCGGUGCAUUAGCUAGCUGGUGAGGUAACGGCCCACCAAGGCGACGAUGCAUAGCCGGCCUGAGAGGGCGGACGGCCACAUUGGGACGGAGACACGGCCCAAACUCCUACGGGAGGCAGCAGUAGGGAAUUUUCGUCAAUGGGGGGAACCCUGAACGAGCAAUGCCGCGUGAGUGAGGAAGGUCUUCGGAUCGUAAAGCUCUGUUGUAAGAGAAAAACGACAUUCAUAGGGAAUGAUGAGUGAGUGAUGGUAUCUUACCAGAAAGUCACGGCUAACUACGUGCCAGCAGCCGCCGUAA